AAGCAAAUAAUUUCCUUCGAGUUCAAUGAAUUUACUUCCCAGAAACUAAAUAACUGAAUAUGUAUAUAUAUAUUUCAGCCAGGCAGUUGAUAAGAGUCGCCACAUCGUUAAAGCCAACAUUAAAAGUAAUUUCGAUUUAUCUACAACUCACUAUGAUGACACGAGCCGCCAGAGUCGUCCGUUAUGGUCUCAGCUAUACAAACAAAAAUUUGUUUCCAACACAUUCUGUCUCUAACUCAUACAUAUAGUAUAUAAUUUAAUAUAUAAUUUAUUUUGGAGAUUUACAAGCUGUAAAACCUGUUUAGAUACGCUAAAAAAAUUGGAAAUGUAAAUAUCUUUACUAGAAAAAAAGUCUGGCCAUAUUUCGUGCCGAGUUAAUAUAGCAAUAGAAUCAAUCUAGAUUCUAGAACCCUUUCUUAAGGAUCUAAAAGUCUGCUCAUUAAAGGUUGAGACUAAAUUGUGUUCUCGCAUGUUCCUGAAUUCCACUGAAUUAUUUAUGU
This 500-nucleotide long non-coding RNA is filed under the name Drosophila guanche. Lineage: Eukaryota; Metazoa; Arthropoda; Insecta; Diptera; Drosophilidae. The record is from RNAcentral.